UACGUAGGUGGCAAGCGUUAUCCGGAAUGAUUGGGCGUAAAGGGUGAGCAGGCGGUUCUUCAAGUCAUGAGUGAAAGGCAGAAGCUUAACUUCUGUUGGCUGAUGAGACUGGAGAACUUGAGUACAGGAGAGGGCGGCGGAACUCCAUGUGUAGCGGUAAAAUGCGUAGAGAUAUGGAAGAACACCAGUGGCGAAGGCGGCCUGCUGGGCUUUAACUGACGCUGAGGCUCGAAAGCGUGGGUAGCAAACAGG
This 252-nucleotide ribosomal RNA is filed under the name uncultured Allobaculum sp. RNAcentral describes it as "partial 16S ribosomal RNA". It matches the Rfam family "Bacterial small subunit ribosomal RNA", at positions 524 to 776 of the family's 1533-position model. The record is from RNAcentral. Lineage: Bacteria; Bacillati; Bacillota; Erysipelotrichia; Erysipelotrichales; Erysipelotrichaceae.